CAAGCGACCCUCUCGGAGACGUCCUGUGGAACCUUCAGUGUCAUUUUUCUUUGAAAGUCCAAACAAAUUGUAAGUUGAAAAUCAUUCUGUCGAGUGAAAGGUGCAUCGUUGUAGGGUGCAUUGAAGAGUAUACGCGUAUAUUAUCAAAAAUUGCGGAACUCACGGAAAUCGAACGCAUGGUCAUGGCUAUCUCAACCAGAGCGUUGUUCUACUAGACAUUCCCACUACCGACUACUUUUAGAAACGACAGCGCUAAUAUUAGCGCGCGACGUCUGUCUUCGUGAAUAGCAAACACGACGCGAAAAAGAACCCAAGGACCAAAUGAGAAGGUAAACUCACUUUAAAAAUAGAAAAAGUAUCAAAGUAUGGGAAAGACUCGAGUCAGUCACAGAUAGCCGCACAGAUUCACCUACGUAGCGACGUGGUUGGACAAAGUAGUCGUAAUAUGUUACAGUUGUUAUGCGACUCGAGCCACAUCUAAGGAAAUGUUAGUACAGACCGCGGUGAUACUGGUUAUAUUGGAUUAUAUCGUACUCUAUUGAACUCGGCUGUGGUUUGUGGUGUAAACGUUUGAACGAGCACCUCAAGUAUUUACAUUGACACGUUUUUUUGUCUCGUGGUUAACAAGGCGAUGGCAUUGUACCCGACCGCUUAUUGAUAGUGUCAAUAGAGGAUUAUUAUGCCCAUGAUUAAUAACACUUCCCGAAAGUUAUGCCUUUGUGUUUAUAUUUGUGAAAUGUAGAUCAAUGUGCCGCACGUAACUUAAGUGUACUGAUUUAAAUCUAACUUUUAAGGUUUCAUACCCGGGAUGUUAUUUAAAAAAAAAUAUGAGAAUUAACUGCUUUUUCUCAUACAUUGAACCAUGAGAUUAUCAUCAAUGGUGCUCUAGUGCUUAAGCCUCAAUAUUACUCGAAUAAUAAUUUAUACGUAGUAUCAUGACUUGAUAGAACCAAUAUUUAGAAUUGCUAACACAAGUAAUGUUUAAAUAAAAAUGUAAAAUGAAUAUUAAGGUAAUGUCAAUAAAAA
This is a long non-coding RNA of Bicyclus anynana (squinting bush brown), 1026 nucleotides long. RefSeq lists it as uncharacterized. The transcript is spliced from 3 exons. The record is from RefSeq and is a predicted model, not a curated record. Lineage: Eukaryota; Metazoa; Arthropoda; Insecta; Lepidoptera; Nymphalidae.